Doryrhamphus excisus (bluestripe pipefish) is the source of this 592-nucleotide non-coding RNA. NCBI's taxonomy places the organism in Eukaryota, Metazoa, Chordata, Actinopteri, Syngnathiformes, Syngnathidae. The record is from RefSeq and is a predicted model, not a curated record.
GUAUUUUCGUGGUUUUCUUUACAUGACUUUCGUAUAAAAAAAUCGCCAUAUGCCUAUAAAAGCAGCGACCCUUUUCGUGCAUGGUAGUGUCUUGACCUAAUUAUCAUCUUUGGCGGUUUUGGCCUCCACUUCCUUCAAAACAAUCAUGUCCGCCUUGUGGAACCCACUGCUAACAACUGCCAGGAGAUACAUAGCGGGGCUAGCACGUUGAAUUUUUAUUACAUAUUUUUAAUAUGCAUUUGAAGAACACUUGACGGAGUAUGACGGCUAAGCUAAUAACCAUAACCCGGAAGUGCCGCUCAAGACACCGGAUUCGACGAAAUAUCCUUAAAGAAGGCUAAAGAAGGUGUUUCAGAGUGAUAUGUGUUGUCUUCAAAACGAGGUCCUCCCUGUUGAUAGCAGGCCAUACACACCCUGACGGGGGUGCUGCCCCAUCCCCUCUCUGGGACCGGCAUCCUGUGGCUGGAACAAGGGUGGCAGAAGCCCUCCCCACAUGAACGGCAAUGGUGCUUACGCUCCGCCUCCUCAAACACUUUGUGACAGCCAUGACAGGCCUAAAAGAGCAUAGAGGAUGAUGAUGCAAUUAAUAAAA